This 506-nucleotide ribosomal RNA is filed under the name uncultured bacterium. Its description in RNAcentral is "partial 16S ribosomal RNA". It matches the Rfam family "Bacterial small subunit ribosomal RNA", at positions 30 to 523 of the family's 1533-position model. The record is from RNAcentral.
AUUGAACGCUGGCGGCAGGCCUAACACAUGCAAGUCGAACGGUAACAGGAAUCAGCUUGCUGAUUCGCUGACGAGUGGCGGACGGGUGAGUAAUGUCUGGGAAACUGCCUGAUGGAGGGGGAUAACUACUGGAAACGGUAGCUAAUACCGCAUAACGUCGCAAGACAAAAGAGGGGGACCUUCGGGCCUCUUGCCAUCGGAUGUUCCCAGAUGGGAUUAGCUAGUAGGUGGGGUAAUGGCUCACCUAGGCGACGAUCCCUAGCUGGUCUGAGAGGAUGACCAGCCACACUGGAACUGAGACACGGUCCAGACUCCUACGGGAGGCAGCAGUGGGGAAUAUUGCACAAUGGGCGCAAGCCUGAUGCAGCCAUGCCGCGUGUAUGAAGAAGGCCUUCGGGUUGUAAAGUACUUUCAGCGAGGAGGAAGGUGUUGAGGUUAAUAACCUUAGCAAUUGACGUUACUCGCAGAAGAAGCACCGGCUAACUCCGUGCCAGCCGCCGCAGUAA